This 274-nucleotide ribosomal RNA is filed under the name uncultured bacterium. Its description in RNAcentral is "partial 16S ribosomal RNA". It matches the Rfam family "Bacterial small subunit ribosomal RNA", at positions 523 to 796 of the family's 1533-position model. The record is from RNAcentral.
AUACGAAAGGUGCAAGCGUUGUUCGGAUUUACUGGGCGUAAAGAGAUCGUAGGUGGUUUGUUAAGUUGGAUGUGAAAUCCCGGGGCUCAACCGCGGAACUGCAUCCAAAACUGGCAGACUUGAGUUCGGGAGGGGUAAGCGGAAUUCCGUGUGUAGCAGUGAAAUGCGUAGAUAUACGGAGGAACACCUGAGGCGAAGGCGGCUUACUGGACCGAUACUGACACUGAGGAUCGAAAGCGUGGGUAGCAAACAGGAUUAGAAACCCUAGUAGUCC